UACGUAGGGGGCUAGCGUUGUCCGGAAUCAUUGGGCGUAAAGCGCGUGUAGGCGGCCCGGUAAGUCCGCUGUAAAGUCCAGGGCUCAACCCUGGGAUGCCGGUGGAUACUGUCGGGCUCGAGUCCGGAAGAGGCGAGUGGAAUUCCUGGUGUAGCGGUGAAAUGCGCAGAUAUCAGGAGGAACACCAAUGGCGAAGGCAGCUCGCUGGGACGUGACUGACGCUGAGACGCGAAAGCGUGGGGAGCGAACAGG
RNAcentral lists this ribosomal RNA (252 nucleotides) under uncultured bacterium. Its description in RNAcentral is "partial 16S ribosomal RNA". It matches the Rfam family "Bacterial small subunit ribosomal RNA", at positions 524 to 776 of the family's 1533-position model. The record is from RNAcentral.